UUCGGAUUGCAGCAUACUAUUUCUACGAUUCGUCGCAAAUUCCGAAUGCCAAAGAGUUGCAGAAUAGGGGUGUAUAAUUGCUAACCAACAAAAGUUUGAUGAGCGCCUUCAAAAUUUGGAGAGGGCUUGUGACAAAAAUACAAUCGAUAAUACAACGCUAAUGGUUAGCAAAGUGCUACGUUCGGUCGGUCGUCUGACAGGCGAACUUGAAGACGAGAUGCAAAUAGAGAUACCUGCAACGUUGCCCUUGGCCAGUAUUGACGCAGCUAAAGAUGUCGAAGAAAAGCUGAAAAAACAGGAAUACUUCGAAUCAAUGAAAAUCUACUUGGUCCAAAUGAAAGGAAGCAACGGAACAAUUAUGGUGGAAGGAAGAAGAAGAGGGCGUUAACAAAAUUGAAGCUAAUUAACUAAGUUUUAAGCGUUUCCUUUCAGAGGUUUUCGCAACUGAAGGUCGCCAGCAGUUCGAAAAGGUGUUAAGGAAAAGCGUUGAGUUGAGUCACAAUCGCUUUCACCAAAAGAAAAAAAUAUAUGUAAAUGUUGUAUAAAUGUAAAGAAAUAAAUGUAAAUGUUAGUGUAAGAAAAUGAACCUACAUAUAUAUAUAUAUAUAUAUAUAUGUUAAAUAUACUAUGCAUACAAUACAGAGUAUAUGGAUCUAUAUAUAUAGAGUAUAAUAUGAAGGGGUUAGAAUCAUAAGGGUCUAAGUGACAUUUCUUGAAAAUAUAAGCUAUACCCAUAUUUGCAUAGUCAAAUAUAGUAUUUAUUUGGUG
Molecule: long non-coding RNA, 768 nt
Organism: Rhagoletis zephyria (snowberry fruit fly)
Lineage: Eukaryota; Metazoa; Arthropoda; Insecta; Diptera; Tephritidae
Source: RefSeq, a predicted model, not a curated record